RNAcentral lists this ribosomal RNA (1000 nucleotides) under uncultured bacterium. RNAcentral's name for it is "bacterial SSU rRNA". It matches the Rfam family "Bacterial small subunit ribosomal RNA", at positions 355 to 1375 of the family's 1533-position model. The record is from RNAcentral.
UGGGGGAUAUUGCGCAAUGGGGGAAACCCUGACGCAGCAACGCCGCGUGAAGGAAGAAGGUCUUCGGAUUGUAAACUUCUUUUGUCAGGGACGAAGAAAGUGACGGUACCUGACGAAUAAGCUCCGGCUAACUACGUGCCAGCAGCCGCGGUAAUACGUAGGGAGCGAGCGUUGUCCGGAUUUACUGGGUGUAAAGGGUGCGUAGGCGGCCGAGCAAGUCAGUUGUGAAAACUAUGGGCUUAACCCAUAACGUGCAAUUGAAACUGUCCGGCUUGAGUGAAGUAGAGGUAGGCGGAAUUCCCGGUGUAGCGGUGAAAUGCGUAGAGAUCGGGAGGAACACCAGUGGCGAAGGCGGCCUACUGGGCUUUAACUGACGCUGAGGCACGAAAGCAUGGGUAGCAAACAGGAUUAGAUACCCUGGUAGUCCAUGCCGUAAACGAUGAUUACUAGGUGUGGGGGGACUGACCCCUUCCGUACCGCAGUUAACACAAUAAGUAAUCCACCUGGGGAGUACGGCCGCAAGGUUGAAACUCAAAGGAAUUGACGGGGGCCCGCACAAGCAGUGGAGUAUGUGGUUUAAUUCGAAGCAACGCGAAGAACCUUACCAGGUCUUGACAUCCUGAGAAUCCUUAAGAGAUUAGGGAGUGCCUUCGGGAACUCAGAGACAGGUGGUGCAUGGUUGUCGUCAGCUCGUGUCGUGAGAUGUUGGGUUAAGUCCCGCAACGAGCGCAACCCUUAUGGUCAGUUACUACGCAAGAGGACUCUGGCCAGACUGCCGUUGACAAAACGGAGGAAGGUGGGGAUGACGUCAAAUCAUCAUGCCCUUUAUGACUUGGGCUACACACGUACUACAAUGGCGUUAAACAAAGAGAAGCAAGACCGCGAGGUGGAGCAAAACUCAGAAACAACGUCCCAGUUCGGACUGCAGGCUGCAACUCGCCUGCACGAAGUCGGAAUUGCUAGUAAUCGUGGAUCAGCAUGCCACGGUGAAUACGUUCCC